AGCGAACGCUGGCGGCAGGCUUAACACAUGCAAGUCGAGCGGGCACUUCGGUGUCAGCGGCAGACGGGUGAGUAACACGUGGGAACGUACCCUUUGGUUCGGAAUAACGCUGGGAAACUAGCGCUAAUACCGGAUACGCCCUUUUGGGGAAAGGCUUGCUGCCGUUGGAUCGGCCCGCGUCUGAUUAGCUAGUUGGUGGGGUAAUGGCCUACCAAGGCGACGAUCAGUAGCUGGUCUGAGAGGAUGAUCAGCCACACUGGGACUGAGACACGGCCCAGACUCCUACGGGAGGCAGCAGUGGGGAAUAUUGGACAAUGGGCGAAAGCCUGACGCAGCCAUGCCGCGUGAGUGAUGAAGGCCUUAGGGUUGUAAAGCUCUUUUGUCCGGGACGAUAAUGACGGUACCGGAAGAAUAAGCCCCGGCUAACUUCGUG
RNAcentral lists this ribosomal RNA (433 nucleotides) under uncultured bacterium. RNAcentral's name for it is "partial 16S ribosomal RNA". It matches the Rfam family "Bacterial small subunit ribosomal RNA", at positions 29 to 507 of the family's 1533-position model. The record is from RNAcentral.